UAUAGCCAGCCACAUGGGGAAGAUGGAAUCAAGACACUUAAAGCAAUAAACCAGGAGAAUUCAGCUGGGAUUGUCCAAAACUUGGACUGAUUCUGUGACUUUCAUACAGAGCUCUUUUGAAAAAAAGGGCAGGUGUAAGUAUCCCCAGCCUCCUAUUUAAUGGGGACCUUCAACAGGUAAUGAAGGUUUGAACAUUUACUGUUCAUUCUCAUUCAUUCACUCAUUCCUUCACGCAUCCAUUCAAAUGUUUGUUGGGCUCCUCCCAUGUAUAUACUGCUAUGAAGAGGACAGGGAUUGGGGUUAAAGGAAAAUUAAACAAAUAUACUUUAUAGCCUAGAGAAGGAAACGGACAUGUUCCAGUUAACUAUAUUACCUGAGAGGCUGUUGCACUGUCAUCUUCAGAAAAGCAGGAACUAUUUUUUUUUUAAAGUUUACUCCACAAUGCAUAUAGUGUAGUUACUAUCACCAAUCCUUACCAAAGCCCUGCAAAGUCAAAGUACAAUUCUACAUAUAUUUCACAGAUGAGGACAUUGAAAACAAGAGAGUUUGCAUAACUAAUUCAGUCUCAUGGCAUGAAUGUAACAAAGGUAGCAUAUGAACUUCAGUGUCUUCUAACAGUGUGCAUAUGUUGUUUCCCUUCUUGAGUGUAAUCAUAAAUUCGAACACAAAAUUCUGUGGAUGUGUGGAAGGAGACUGAAUUCCAAAUGGAGGAAUUAUAAAAAGCUUCAUGGAGGUGCACAUACAACAAAGAUUUGAAGGACAAAGACAGGUCUUAAAGUGGGAGGAAGAGAAAGACAAGUAUCAGCAGAGAAACAGAGUGUGGCCAGGCACAUGACAUGAAAUAACACAGAAAAGUGUCCGAGGGCCCAUGUAGCUAAAUGUGUAGAGUGGAAUGUGAUGCUGAAAUAUUAGGCUAGAGACAAGUGAGUGAAGGCUUUGAAUGUCAAGUUAAGACACUUAAACUUCUAUUCUGUAGGCAAUAAAAGCCAAUGAACAUAUAUGGGUUGUAUUUGUCACUCAUUUAGUCAAUGUAUAUUUACUGAUCAUCUACUAUGUUUAUUAUGUUCAGGCUUUUUGGAAGGCUCAGGGUAUACUAUGGUUAAAAUCAAAGAAGACAAAACCAAGACAGUGGUUCUUAAGUCUAGAAGCAGAGAUAAAUAGCGAGGUAGUAAAACAAACAAACCAAUAAAACCACACACACAUAUUGCACUUAAUAUAGUACUAUGAAGAAAAUGCACAGAGUCCUGUACCUGCAGAUAAUGCAGGCAUGGGAAGGCCUCUCUGAGGAAGAGAUAUGAACUGGGAGUGAACAGUGACUGCAGCAGUACCUAUGAAGAGGGAAGGGUGUCUGGGAAGGGUCCUCAGCUGAGAGACAGAAACUGGAAGAGGGCUGGCGGAGGGUGAUGGGCAAGGGCUAGAUCACCAAGACCUCUGGGCCACCUUAAGGAGUCUGGACUUUCUUGGUGAAUGGGAAGCUACUGAAGAGUUUGAAGCAGGAAAGUGACACCGUCUUAUUUUUAUUUCCAAAGGUCACUGCUGCACUAAAAGAGAAGGCAAGAGUGGAAGCAGGCAGAGUAGCCAGGGACGACUGCCAUGGUCCAGGAGAGGACAAGGGAGACCCCGGCUGUUCAGAGGCAGUAGAGAUGGGAAGACAUAUUUGUGGGAAGAGCCAACAGGACCUGCUGCCAGGUUGGAUGUGGGGCCCAAAGGAAAGGAAGAAGUGAAGGAUGACUCCUUCAUCUUUGGCUUUAGCAGCUGGGUCAGUGGGGUGCCCUGAUCUGGCAUUUGAAAGAAUGAGGCAGUAAGAGCUUCAGGGGAGAGAGUAGGAGGUCAGUUCGGAGCAUGUUGGGUUUGAGCUACAAGACAUUAAGUAUCCAGGUUCUGAAUCAGAAAUGGGAAAAAAAAUCAGAAAAUGGGAAUUGUUUCCGAAUUUUCAGCUCUUUGGGAUUAUUCAUGCUACAAAUUCUUGCUGACUGUGCAGUGUGUUCCAUUCUGCUCAGCUCUCCACCUCUUCUUCUCUGCUCUCAGGGUGUCCCAAGGGCUUUAGGAGAAUGGCAACAACUGAAGGAUCCUCUGUUCUCCUGUCUCAGGGCCUCAGAUCUGGGGCCUUGAGUGUGCACACAAGUGGGAAUCAAGAGACCAACAUGGUUUUCAUCAUUAACUAGCCAUGUGACCUUGGGCCAUUUCCCUUCACUGGGCCUAAUUUCUCUGUGGGUAGAUGUGGUCUCUCGAGUCCUUUUUCAGUUAACAUGGUAUAUUCAAGCAAAGCCUUCAAUACAAUAAGCUUAUGAGAAAUCCCAUCCUCAUUCUUUCAUUCACAAAUAUAUAUGGAGAACUGACCAUGUGCCGUUAUUUUAGACACUUGACAUAUACAGUGAACAAAACUGACAAAGACCUCUGUCUUUAUGGAGUUUAAAUUCUAGCUAUGGAAAACAAGCUGUAGACCUAAUAAUACAUGUGUAAAUUAUAUAGAAUGCUGGAACGUGGUAAGUGCUAUGGAGUAAAGAUAAAGAAUAGGGUAAGGGGAGGGCUGGGGACAAGGAGAAGAUCACAGCAUUAAGUAGAGUUCUCAGAGAGGCCUCCUUGAGAAGGUGGGGUGGGGAUGGGCUUGGGGAGGUGAAGGCGCUGGCCAACAUCAAAGCGGAGUUAAUCCUCCUCAUCUGAAACACAGCCCUGACCAGUCAUUUCACAAUUAGACUCUUGCUAAAUCCAACCCAAUCCCAAACUGGGGAUAAUAAUCAACCUCAGGGAUGAGUCCUCCCUCGUGGGGUCAGGAACACCUCUUUCGUAGCAAUGGCUGUUUUCUGUCUGCAGGUCCAGGUCCUCUUCGCCUCCCAGAGCAGCUUCGGCGGAGACAAGUCUCACACACAUCCUCUCGUCUGGCUUGUGGCCUCCCUUCCCUGCCCUGCUCCUCCCCUGUGGACUCAUCUCUGAAGCCUUCUUCAUACUUCUCACUCCCUGCAACUCUUCUAGAACCCUCAGCAAGUUCAGCUGUCCUAACUGCACUAAAGGGUGCUGAGCUCUGCCCCGCUCCUCAGACAUAAUAUCCCACUUCUCCUUUCCCCUACUUGUGGGCCAUGGCAGCUCUGGUUACCAUCCCUAUUUUGCAGAUAAAAAAUCAGAAGUCACUUGUCUGAUGAGUCACAUCAAGUAUUGGUGCAAGGAGGAUUGAAACCCAUUUGUUCAUUUAUAUAUUCAUAUUAAGUGGUUUCUAUGUGCCAGACACUGUUCUAGGAGCUAGGAUACAACAAAGAGAAAACAGACAUAUCUCUGUCCUCAUAAAGGUCUUUUCUUGCCAUUAUCCUGCUUCCAAAUAAGAAAAUUGAACUCCUACCUGCUCCCUGUUUGGAAACUCCCACCUAGAAUUCAUUUUCUGCUCAUACUCCUGCCCCUCCCAGCAACAGAUGAUCACCAUUAAAGGGGGAAGAUUAAUUGUGCAGAGGGAUAGACCAAGGAAAAGUGAUUUCUCUUUGUGUCGGACAAGUGCAUGACUAAACAGAUGAAUCCUUCUCUGAAGUGCAGUGUGGAGGCUGCCGAUGGAAUUGCAGAGUCCUUUCCCGUUGCAGAGUAGGUAUUUCCUGAGAGGCUCACUUCACGGAGGAGGCUGGAGAUGAAUGCUUACACGGAAAUCGUGGGAAGAGUGUCCAAUUCAUCACAGAAUGAAUUAAAGUUUGGGGGUGAUUUCUCCUGUGACCCUGGUGAGGGGGAUUUGGAGGGUACCCAGACUACAGACAGGAGGAAACGUCCUGGUCCAGGGAGAAUGGCCAAGAUUAUCUCAGGAUUUCAUGAAGAGGAGAAAUGGAGGUCAUUUCCUAGAGAUUAAUGGAGAAUUUGAUUGUGAGAAGAAAAUUGUUUAAGGAGCAGGGGUGGGUUUGGAGGCAAAUGUCACACACUCCAGAAGGUAAAGUGAGCUGGCUCUUCCCCUCUUACUCCUUGGAAAGAGGGAAAGCUCAUCAGAGCCAGGACCCUGGAAAAGCGAUGUGAUGAAGAGAAGGAGGCCCUGAAUAG
Molecule: long non-coding RNA, 4008 nt
Organism: Cercocebus atys (sooty mangabey)
Lineage: Eukaryota; Metazoa; Chordata; Mammalia; Primates; Cercopithecidae
Exons: 5
Source: RefSeq, a predicted model, not a curated record